RNAcentral lists this ribosomal RNA (774 nucleotides) under uncultured Neocallimastigales. Its description in RNAcentral is "partial large subunit ribosomal RNA". It matches the Rfam family "Eukaryotic large subunit ribosomal RNA", at positions 24 to 649 of the family's 3401-position model. Lineage: Eukaryota; Fungi; Neocallimastigomycota; Neocallimastigomycetes; Neocallimastigales. The record is from RNAcentral.
UAUGUGAUCGUCUCUCGCAUAUCAAUAAGCGGAGGAAAAGAAACUAACAAGGAUUCCCCUAGUAACGGCGAGUGAAGCGGGAAGAGCUCAAAUUUGAAAUCUUAAAGGGUUUCCCUUUACGAAUUGUAGUUUAAAGAAGUGUUUUCUGUUGAGGUUUUGGUAAAAGUUCUUUGGAAUAGGACAUCAUAGAGGGUGAGAAUCCCGUAUUUGACCUUUACUUUCAACUUUGUGAUACACUUUCAAAGAGUCGGAUUGUUUGGGAAUGCAGUCCAAAAUGGGUGGUAAAUUUCAUCUAAAGCUAAAUAUUGGCGAGAGACCGAUAGCGAACAAGUACCGUGAGGGAAAGAUGAAAAGAACUUUGAAAAGAGAGUUAAACAGUACGUGAAAUUGUCAAAAGGGAAGCGUUUGACACCAGUGUUGUUUUUCUGAAAAUCAAUUAAAGAACUGUUUAUGCUAAGUUGUUUAGACUUUAUCAGCUAACUGUUUAGUUUUGAGCUUUUCUUCAAUGCACUUUUCAGUUAACAAGUCAACAUCAAUUUCUUUUGCUGUAAAAAAGCUUGAGGAAGGUGGCUUGAGAUUCGUCUUAAGUGUUUAUAGCCUCUUGCCUAUGCAGUCGGAGAGAUUGAGGUCUGCAGCGUAGAUCCUUCGGGGCUAAAUGCAUUUGUGCUAAGUUAUAGCAUUUUAUAGACAACUUGUUGACUAUGAUUUGUCUUGUAGCUUACUCGCUUAUGUUAUUUUACCUACGCUUAGGAUGUUGAGUAGCGACAUACGCAC